RNAcentral lists this ribosomal RNA (406 nucleotides) under uncultured bacterium. RNAcentral describes it as "partial 16S ribosomal RNA". It matches the Rfam family "Bacterial small subunit ribosomal RNA", at positions 30 to 526 of the family's 1533-position model. The record is from RNAcentral.
AUUGAACGCUGGCGGCAAGCCUAACACAUGCAAGUCGAACGAGUGGCGGACGGGUGAGUAAUGUUUGGGAAAAUGCCUGAUGGAGGGGGAUAACUACUGGAAACGGUAGCUAAUACCGCAUACCAUAGUAUGAUCCCAGAUGGGUUUAGCUAGUUGGUGGGGUAAAGGCUCACCUAGGCUACGAUCCCUAGCUGGUCUGAGAGGAUGACCAGUCAAACUGGAACUGAGACAAGGUCCAGACGCCUACGGGAGGAAGCAGUGGGGAAUAUUGGACAAGGGGCGAAAGCCUGAUGCAGCCAUGCCGCGUGUAUGAAGAAGGCCUUCGGGUUGUAAAGUACUUUCAGCGGGGAGGCGUUACCCGCAGAAGAAGCACCGGCUAACUCCGUGCCAGCAGCCGCGGUAAUUC